UUUUAAUUGAGAGUUUGAUCCUGGCUCAGGAUGAACGCUGGCGGCGUGGAUAAGGCAUGCAAGUCGAACGAAACAUGUUAAUUUAAUAUGUUUAGUGGCAGACGGGGUAGUAACACGUAGGAACUCACCCCAGAGACGGGUAUAAUCCGGCGAAAGCCGGACUAAUUCCCGAUAGUUCCCGAAAGGGUAAAGGCAGUAAUGCGCUCUGGGAGAGGCCUGCGGGCUAUCAGCUAGUUGGCGGGGUAAUGGCCCACCAAGGCGACGACGGCUAGGGGGAGUGAGAGCUUGGC
RNAcentral lists this ribosomal RNA (290 nucleotides) under Candidatus Giovannonibacteria bacterium RIFCSPLOWO2_01_FULL_45_34. RNAcentral describes it as "partial 16S ribosomal RNA". It matches the Rfam family "Bacterial small subunit ribosomal RNA", at positions 1 to 304 of the family's 1533-position model. Lineage: Bacteria; Candidatus Giovannoniibacteriota. The record is from RNAcentral.